UCGAUUCCCUUAGUAGCGGCGAGCGAAACGGGAAGAGCCCAAACCAACAAGCUUGCUUGUUGGGGUUGUAGGACACUCUAUACGGAGUUACAAAGGACGACAUUAGACGAAUCAUCUGGAAAGAUGAAUCAAAGAAGGUAAUAAUCCUGUAGUCGAAAAUGUUGUCUCUCUUGAGUGGAUCCUGAGUACGACGGAGCACGUGAAAUUCCGUCGGAAUCUGGGAGGACCAUCUCCUAAGGCUAAAUACUCUCUAGUGACCGAUAGUGAACCAGUACCGUGAGGGAAAGGUGAAAAGCACCCCGGAAGGGGAGUGAAAUAGAACCUGAAACCGUGUGCUUACAAGUAGUCAGAGCCCGUUAAUGGGUGAUGGCGUGCCUUUUGUAGAAUGAACCGGCGAGUUACGAUUUGAUGCAAGGUUAAGCAGUAAAUGUGGAGCCGUAGCGAAAGCGAGUCUGAAUAGGGCGUUUAGUAUUUGGUCGUAGACCCGAAACCAGGUGAUCUACCCUUGGUCAGGUUGAAGUUCAGGUAACACUGAAUGGAGGACCGAACCGACUUACGUUGAAAAGUGAGCGGAUGAACUGAGGGUAGCGGAGAAAUUCCAAUCGAACCUGGAGAUAGCUGGUUCUCUCCGAAAUAGCUUUAGGGCUAGCCUCAAGUGAUGAUUAUUGGAGGUAGA
This 676-nucleotide ribosomal RNA is filed under the name Staphylococcus aureus. RNAcentral's name for it is "partial 23S ribosomal RNA". It matches the Rfam family "Bacterial large subunit ribosomal RNA", at positions 231 to 906 of the family's 2925-position model. Lineage: Bacteria; Bacillati; Bacillota; Bacilli; Caryophanales; Staphylococcaceae. The record is from RNAcentral.